Molecule: ribosomal RNA, 350 nt
Filed under: Theileria buffeli
Lineage: Eukaryota; Apicomplexa; Aconoidasida; Piroplasmida; Theileriidae
Description: SSU rRNA
Rfam family: Eukaryotic small subunit ribosomal RNA
Source: RNAcentral
UCGUCGUGGGCUUAUGUCUUGUAUUGGAUGAUGGGAAUUUAAACCUCUUCCAGAGUAUCAAUUGGAGGGCAAGUCUGGUGCCAGCAGCCGCGGUAAUUCCAGCUCCAAUAGCGUAUAUUAAAAUUGUUGCAGUUAAAAAGCUCGUAGUUGAAUUUCUGCUGCAUUUCAUUUCUCUUUCUGAGUUUGUUUUUGCGGCUUAUUUCGGUUUGAUUUUUUCUUUCCGGAUGAUUACUUUGAGAAAAUUAGAGUGCUCAAAGCAGGCUUUUGCCUUGAAUAGUUUAGCAUGGAAUAAUAAAGUAGGACUUUGGUUCUAUUUUGUUGGUUUUAGGUACCAAAGUAAUGGUUAAUAG